AUUGAACGCUGGCGGCAGGCCUAACACAUGCAAGUCGAGCGGAUGAAGGGAGCUUUCUCCUGGAUUCAGCGUCGGACGGGUGAGUAAUGCCUAGGAAUCUGCCUGGUAGUGGGGGAUAACGUCCGGAAACGGGCGCUAAUACCGCAUACGUCCUGAGGGUGAAAGAGGGGGAUCUUCGGACCUCACGCUAUCAGAUGAGCCUAGGUCGGGUUAGCUAGUUGGUGGGGUAAAGGCCUACCAAGCCGACGAUCCGUAACUGGUCUGAGAGGAUGAUCAGUCACAUUGGAACUGAGACACGGUCCAGACUCCUACGGGAGGCAGCAGUGGGGAAUAUUGGACAAUGGGCGAAAGCCUGAUCCAGCCAUGCCGCGUGUGUGAAGAAGGUCUUCGGAUUGUAAAGCACUUUAAGUUGGGAGGAAGGGCAGUAAGUUAAUACCUUGCUGUUUUGACGUUACCAACAGAAUAAGCACCGGCUAACUUCGUG
RNAcentral lists this ribosomal RNA (484 nucleotides) under uncultured bacterium. RNAcentral's name for it is "partial 16S ribosomal RNA". It matches the Rfam family "Bacterial small subunit ribosomal RNA", at positions 30 to 507 of the family's 1533-position model. The record is from RNAcentral.